This is a non-coding RNA of Hordeum vulgare subsp. vulgare (domesticated barley), 138 nucleotides long. The record is from Rfam. NCBI's taxonomy places the organism in Eukaryota, Viridiplantae, Streptophyta, Magnoliopsida, Poales, Poaceae.
UUAAUACUCCCUCCGAUCCAUAUUACUACUUGUCUUAGAUUUGUCUAGAUACCGAUGUAUCUAACACUAAAAUGUGUCUAGAUACAUCCGUUUCUAGAUAAACCUAAGUUAAGCAAUAUGGAUCGGAGGGAGUACAUC